AGCAUAUCAUAGCGGAGGAAAAGAAUACCAACAGGGAUUGCCCCAGUAACGGCAAGUGAAGCGGCAACAGCUCAAAUUUGAAAUCUGGCCUCGGCCCGAGUUGUAAUUUGCAGAGGAUGCUUCUGGCGCGGCGCCUUCCGAGUUCCCUGGAACGGGACGCCACAGAGGGUGAGAGCCCCGUAUGGUCGGACGCCAAGCCAGUGUGAAGCUCCUUCGAAGAGUCGAGUAGUUUGGGAAUGCUGCUCUAAGCGGGAGGUAUACGUCUUCUAAAGCUAAAUACCGGCCAGAGACCGAUAGCGCACAAGUAGAGUGAUCGAAAGAUGAAAAGCACCUUGAAAAGGGGGUUAAACAGUACGUGAAAUUGUUGAAAGGGAAGCGCCUGUGACCAGACUUGCGCCGGGCGGAUCAUCCAGCGUUCUCGCUGGUGCGCUCCGCCCGGCUCAGGCCAGCAUCGGUUCUGGCGGGGGGAUAAAGGCGGCGGGAACGUGGCUCCCCCGGGAGUGUUAUAGCCCGCCGUGCAAUGCCCCCGCCGGGACCGAGGUUCGCGCAUCUGCAAGGAUGCUGGCGUAAUGGUCACCAGCGACCCGUCUUGAAACACGGACCAAGGAGUCGUCCAUUACGGCGAGCGUUUGGGUGUAAAACCCCUGCGCGGAAUGAAAGUAAACGUAGGUGAGAGCUUCGGCGCAUCAUCGACCCGAUCCUGAUGUACUCGGAUGGAUUUGAGUAAGAGUCGUACCCGGACGGACCCCGAAAGAUGGUGAACUAUGCCUGUAUAGGGUGAAGCCAGAGGAAACUCUGGUGGAGGCUCGCAGCGGUUUCUGACGUGCAAAUCGAUCGUCAAAUAAUGGGCAUGGGGGGCGAAAGACUAAUCGAAACCAUCUAGUAGCUGGUUACCGUUG
This 899-nucleotide ribosomal RNA is filed under the name Pleurostoma richardsiae. Its description in RNAcentral is "LSU rRNA". It matches the Rfam family "Eukaryotic large subunit ribosomal RNA", at positions 37 to 963 of the family's 3401-position model. Lineage: Eukaryota; Fungi; Ascomycota; Sordariomycetes; Calosphaeriales; Pleurostomataceae. The record is from RNAcentral.